RNAcentral lists this ribosomal RNA (160 nucleotides) under uncultured bacterium. RNAcentral's name for it is "partial 16S ribosomal RNA". It matches the Rfam family "Bacterial small subunit ribosomal RNA", at positions 355 to 507 of the family's 1533-position model. The record is from RNAcentral.
UACGGAAUCUUCGGCAAUGGGGGCAACCCUGACCGAGCAACGCCGCGUGAGUGAAGAAGGUGUUCGGAUCGUAAAGCUCUGUUGUAAGAGAAAAACGUGUGUGAGAGUGGAAAGUGACACAGUGACGGUAACUUACCAGAAAGGGACGGCUAACUACGUG